CCCUUAGAUGUUCUGGGCCGCACGCGCGCUACACUGUUCGACGCAGCGAGUCUUAACCUUGACCGAAAGGUUUGGGUAAUCUUCAGCAAAGUCGAACGUGAUGGGGAUCGAUCAUUGCAAUUAUUGAUCGUGAACGAGGAAUUCCUAGUAAGUGCAAGUCAUCAGCUUGCGCUGAUUACGUCCCUGCCCUUUGUACGCACCGCCCGUCGCUACUACCGAUUGAAUGGUUUAGUGAGAUCUCUGGAUUGACGCUGGCUAGGGGGCGACCCUUGGCCAGGCUGUCGAGAAACUGCUCAAACUUGAUCAUUUAGAGGAAGUAAAAGUCGUAACA
RNAcentral lists this ribosomal RNA (331 nucleotides) under uncultured eukaryote. RNAcentral describes it as "partial 18S ribosomal RNA". It matches the Rfam family "Eukaryotic small subunit ribosomal RNA", at positions 1470 to 1796 of the family's 1831-position model. The record is from RNAcentral.